CCUACGGGAGGCAGCAGUGAGGAAUAUUGGUCAAUGGGCGCGAGCCUGAACCAGCCAAGCCGCGUGAGGGAUGAAGGUACUCUGGAUCGUAAACCUCUUUUAUAAGGGAAUAAAGUGUGGGACGUGUCCCUUUUUGUAUGUAUCUUAUGAAUAAGGAUCGGCUAACUCCGUGCCAGCAGCCGCGGUAAUACGGAGGAUCCGAGCGUUAUCCGGAUUUAUUGGGUUUAAAGGGUGCGUAGGCGGCCUUUUAAGUCAGCGGUGAAAGUCCGUGGCUCAACCAGAGAAUUGCCGUUGAUACUGGGAGGCUUGAGUGUGUGAGAGGCAGGCGGAAUGCGUGGUGUAGCGGUGAAAUGCUUAGAGAUCACGCAGAACACCGAUUGCGAAGGCAGCCUGCCAAGCCAAGACUGACGCUGAGGCACGAAAGCGUGGGGAUCAAACAGGAUUAGAUACCCUUGUAGUC
RNAcentral lists this ribosomal RNA (460 nucleotides) under uncultured bacterium. RNAcentral describes it as "partial 16S ribosomal RNA". It matches the Rfam family "Bacterial small subunit ribosomal RNA", at positions 338 to 795 of the family's 1533-position model. The record is from RNAcentral.